Molecule: unclassified non-coding RNA, 257 nt
Filed under: Hevea brasiliensis (rubber tree)
Lineage: Eukaryota; Viridiplantae; Streptophyta; Magnoliopsida; Malpighiales; Euphorbiaceae
Source: RNAcentral
CUAUAUUUUCUGGGUUUCUGUUUAUUUACCCUUUUCUUUUCUUCUUCGUUGUAUAUAUUUUCUUUUUGGUCUCUUGAAAUUUUCCAAUAAUUCCUUUUUGAUUUGCCACCAAUUAUGCAAGCAACUCAAGCACCCAACAAUGGAGUUGCAGAGAUUCCUUCACAGGGUGUUCUAAAACGCAUGGAACCCUCCAACGAAGAAGUUUCAACUCCAGAACCAGGAGGAAGACGCUUGGAUCUUUCAGUUCAGAUACCCCC